This 332-nucleotide long non-coding RNA is filed under the name Sorghum bicolor (sorghum). RNAcentral's name for it is "long non-coding RNA (SBIC_LNC002273)". The record is from RNAcentral. Lineage: Eukaryota; Viridiplantae; Streptophyta; Magnoliopsida; Poales; Poaceae.
AGACAAACACCAAAACUCGUGGAAUUCUGUCAGAUAAAACCCUAAGUCUGGAUGUUGAUUUCAUUUGGAUCCAUUUCUUUGUUUAUUUAAUAAUUAAAUUUGAUACUUAAGGACCGUCAACAAUAAUCACCUGACAUAUCUGACUUGUCCUGUAAUACCCGAUUUUAAGGAUAAAACCAGAUAUGCAUCAUAUGUGAGUCUUCGAAGUCAAAUCUCACAUAAAGUUAUAAAUAAGAGGUAAUAUCAAAAGACAAUGCAUAAAUAUAUGACGCACUCAGUAUAAAAGAUAUAACCUUUGAUAGCAAACAGCGGAUAGACAACUCCAAACUUCG